This 79-nucleotide transfer RNA is filed under the name Ensifer meliloti. RNAcentral describes it as "Sinorhizobium meliloti tRNA-Thr". The record is from RNAcentral. Lineage: Bacteria; Pseudomonadati; Pseudomonadota; Alphaproteobacteria; Hyphomicrobiales; Rhizobiaceae.
GGCAUGUUACCUCAUGUUAUAGGGGAGCACAUCAUUCGUAAUGAUGGGGUCACGUGUUCGAGUCACGUAAGCGGCACCA